This 95-nucleotide transfer RNA is filed under the name Flavimobilis marinus. Its description in RNAcentral is "tRNA-Arg". Lineage: Bacteria; Bacillati; Actinomycetota; Actinomycetes; Micrococcales; Jonesiaceae. The record is from RNAcentral.
GGCCCGGGAGCGCCGCCAGGGCGUCCGGUCCCACGACGACCGGGAGGCACGGACCGUCAGGGUCGAUCACGAGCUGCCAGGGCUCGCCGGGCCGC